UACGGGGGGAGCAAGCGUUGUUCGGAUUUAUUGGGCGUAAAGAGCUCGUAGGCGGCCCUCCACGUCGGAUGUGAAAGCUCAGGGCUCAACCCUGAGAUGCCAUUCGAUACGGGAAGGCUAGAGGUAGGUAGGGGAAAGUGGAAUUCCUGGUGUAGCGGUGAAAUGCGCAGAUAUCAGGAGGAACACCAAUGGCGAAGGCAGCACUCUGGGACGUGACUGACGCUGAGACGCGAAAGCGUGGGGAGCAAACAGG
Molecule: ribosomal RNA, 253 nt
Filed under: uncultured bacterium
Lineage: Bacteria
Description: partial 16S ribosomal RNA
Rfam family: Bacterial small subunit ribosomal RNA
Source: RNAcentral